RNAcentral lists this microRNA (23 nucleotides) under Eisenia fetida (common brandling worm). RNAcentral describes it as "Efe-Mir-750-P1_3p (mature (guide))". Lineage: Eukaryota; Metazoa; Annelida; Clitellata; Crassiclitellata; Lumbricidae. The record is from RNAcentral.
CCAGAUCUAACUCUUCCGGCUGG